UCUCUCUCAACUCACAGAAGCACUAGCCACCCACGAUCGCCCACCGCCACCGGAAAUCGCCCACGGUGGUUAUGCCACUCCAAAUCACCCCAAAAUUAUACCACACACUCUCCAUCGUCCCCUCAACCCUAAUCCAUCACCAAUUUCUCAAAAAUACCCACCAAUAUUCUCCAAUUUCAAAUCCAAGAAGGCCGAAAAAUCCUAAUCCGCUUCUAUUUUGAUUUUCUCGAAAUUUUUGACUGAAUUGACCAAAAAUUUGUGCUAAUCAAUUAUUCUUCAACCCAAAAAAAUAGAUUGACACUAAUUUUUGGUCAUUUCGAAGUCAACGGAUUCCGGCCAACUCUCCACUGACCGACUAGCAUUGCUUGAACCUCAUCCCCCGUUGGCGUGUCUAGUCUUUCAAGUGUCCUCGUGCCAAGAAGGCCCAUCAGGGAUUCAAAUUCUGGAUGAGUCUCUUGGCACAAGGACCUUUGGCAACCAGGUGAUUUUAAACCAUUGGAGAAGACCCUCUUCUUGACUCUUGUUUCUACCUUAGUCAGCGUAUCUGGCUUCAAUCAAGUUCCGUUUAGGUAUACUCCUUUUCUUCAUAACAUCCUAGAUUAUUUGUUGAUGUUUGGAAUGCCGAUUAGUUCUCUCUAUUUGAUUAUGUUUUAGCUACUGCAUUAAUAGUUCAUUACACAUUUAGGUUACUUACAUUUAAGCUUUGUUUAAUUGUUAGUUGUUGUUUGUUGAAGUUUAUUGAAUUUGAAUUCCACUUAGGUUUUCUUGUUCAAUUUAAUUCUAAGUUGGGCCUGGCUUGUAGGAUGGACAUGCCCAUUAGAUUAAUGAUGAAUUAUGGGGAGUGGGAGGUGAUGGGCUUUUUGUCUAAGACCACAAAACUGAAAUCUGGAGUUUUGAAGAAAUGGUAAAUACAGGGGUUUGGCAAGGUAGUUUAGGAAUUGAAUUUGAGGGAAUCUUAUUUAUAACUGCUUGAGAAGGUUCUAGAAAUAGGGUGAGAGCUUGAAAUGUAAUAUAACAACUGAAUUAGAUCAAAAUUUGGGUAAAAAAGGGCUAAAAUCAGAAGAUAAAAGGGCUAAAAUAUAUAGGGAAUAUCUGUAUAAGACAGUUGUUCCAACAGCUGCCCAUUUUCUGUUAAAAAAGAUGGGUUUUUCCUAAAUUUUAGGGACUGCAUUCAUCAGAUUAUUCCCUCACCUUUUUUCUAUAUAAAAGGCCUUUCAUUCCCUUCAUAUAGACAGACUAGACACACGAAAUGCACUUUGAAAAUUCACACUCUUCUUCUUCUUCAUUUUAGAGACUAUUUUAUAUAGAAAUUGACUACAUUUUCAAAAAUUACAUUCCAUUAAUCUUCGUCUCUAAGUAGAAAAACUUUCUGGGGUUCUUGAAGUUGAGUUUUCUUUAGCUUCAUUUGCUGCUGUUUCUUUGUUUCUGUUGGUUUUCUGCUACUGUUUGGUUUCUUGCUGUUACUCCUUCUCAAGUUCAGAGACUUAUUUUCUGCCCUUUUAUUUGGUUGUGAUCAAAUAGGUCAGUUUGAACUCUCAUGUACUCAUAUUCCUAUGUGAAUAAAUUCCUGAUUUCUGCCUUGGUUGUUGGAUAUUUGAGUAGUAUAUGGAAAUAUGAGUUAAUUUGUACUCCUAUUCAAUAUGUUACUCCAAAUAACGUGUAUGAAAGUAUAUUGUUGAAGCAUGCAUGGACUCUGUUAAUUUCUGAGUGUUUGAUCACGAGGUUUUGAUUCAAAUAUAAUCCUAAUAUGUUGCUAAGUAGUAUUUGUGUAACAAAUGCAUGAUUUGGAAGGCUCUUAUGGAAACGAGCAUGGCUGCAGUUCAUGGAUGUGGCCCUAAAUUGGUCAACAUCUACAAGCUUCAAAGCCAAAAUGGAUUAUCGGAACAGUUCGGAAUCAUUAUAGAUUGUCUAUCAUAGAAGUAUAAACAUUUCAUUAUGGCUUGUAUUAUUAAUUUGGAAUAAGGUGUGUUGUAAAGCAGGCAUGGCAGAAUGCCAGGAUUUACAUAUGUUUUAACUUGAAUGCAUACUUAAAGGCAAUCAAGUUUGUUAAGAUCAGUUUCUAUUUUUGCUUUUAUGUAAAAGUCUGAAAUCAGUAUUAAGUUUUGGUUAAAAUCAGAGUAGCAGCCAUUUCGAAUCUGUCAGUUACAAAUGUAAUUCGAAUAUGGUGUUACUCUAAUGAAAGCCAUGUUCUGGGCCUCAAAUUGAAGCCCACUAGCGUCCGUCUACACUCGGUCUAUUUUGGGCCAUUUGAAUCUAUACCCGCUUUUUAUAUCACGUUUUAACUUGUACCCGUUUUGCAAAAAAUUGCAAACGUACCCGCUUUUUUGCAUAACUUCAGCAUACGGGGCUGAAGUAGCAAAGACAAUCACGCAAAACUUCAGCAUUCUAGCAGACGGGCCUGAAGUAGCAAGUAUGCUGAUGUUUUUGUUUUGUAACUGGCAAACUUUAGCUCUAGAGCUAAAGUUUUUGUUUUGUAACUCGCGAACUUCAACUCUAGAGCUGAAGUUUUUGUUUUUGUAACUGACGAACUUCAGCUCUAGAGCUGAAGUUUUUGUUUUGUAACUGUCGAACUUCAGCUCUAGAGCUGAAGUUAUUUAGUUCAUUUGUAAAAACUUCUGCACUAUUUAUGUUUGUUUGGGAUCUUGGUCAUCUGUAUUUUGUUUGUAAUUAUGCAACAAUUAAAGAAAACGAGAGUAUGCACAAAUCUAAUAACUUAUCAUCAUUCACUGAUCAGUAAAGUCACCAAUUUCAACAAAAAUUUUGCAACUGAAACUAACGUGCCUCUGAACUAAUUGGUUACAUCAACAAGUAACUUAGUCUAAAUUUAUUAUUACAUAGCUUUGAAAGAAGAAAAAAGGAAUAAUAAUACAAGGGUCAAAAUACAGAUGACCAAGCUCCCAAACAAACAUAUACACUAAGAAUCUACUCAUCUAAUAUAGUUACAGCUAGUUAUUUAGUUCAUUUGUAAUUAUUUAUAAUUUAUUUUUAAAUAAUCUGAUAAAUAUAUUUAUGACAAUCAUCCCAUGAACUGAAGUUCCGUAGCAGCACGAAUAGCAGAAGAAGAAGAAGAAGAAGAAGAAGAAGAAGAAGAAGAAGAAGAAGAAGAAGACGAAGGAGGAGAAGGAGGAGUAGACGGGGGGCUGAAGUUAUUUAAAAUGUGGGUACAAAUUAAAAGUUUUUAAAAAAAUAAAUAGGUGUAAAUUAAAUGGGGGCGACCAAAUAGAGCGUCCCGUGUAAUUGUUACUCUAUUUUGAGACCUCGUGC
This 3264-nucleotide long non-coding RNA is filed under the name Nicotiana tabacum (common tobacco). RNAcentral describes it as "long non-coding RNA (NTAB_LNC011453)". The record is from RNAcentral. Lineage: Eukaryota; Viridiplantae; Streptophyta; Magnoliopsida; Solanales; Solanaceae.